GACGAACGCUGGCGGCGUGCUUAACACAUGCAAGUCGAACGGUGAAGCGCCUUCCUUUUUGGUGGGUGUGGAUGAGUGGCGAACGGGUGAGUAACACGUGAGUAACCUGCCCCCUUCUUCUGGAUAACCGCAUGAAAGUGUGGCUAAUACGGGAUAUUCUGGGUCUGUCGCAUGAUGGGUCUGGGAAAGAUAUUGUUUCGGUGGGGGAUGGGCUCGCGGCCUAUCAGCUUGUUGGUGGGGUGAUGGCCUACCAAGGCGGUGGCGGGUAGCCGGCCUGAGGGGGUGGACGGUCACACUGGGACUGAGACACGGCCCAGACUCCUACGGGAGGCAGCAGUGGGGAAUAUUGCACAAUGGGCGCAAGCCUGAUGCAGCGACGCCGCGUGAGGGAUGGAGGCCUUCGGGUUGUGAACCUCUUUCGCCAGUGAAGCAGGCCUGCCUCGUUUGUGGGUGGGUUGACGGUAGCUGGAGAAGAAGCGCCGGCUAACUACGUG
RNAcentral lists this ribosomal RNA (494 nucleotides) under uncultured bacterium. RNAcentral's name for it is "partial 16S ribosomal RNA". It matches the Rfam family "Bacterial small subunit ribosomal RNA", at positions 28 to 507 of the family's 1533-position model. The record is from RNAcentral.